Trichonephila inaurata madagascariensis is the source of this 73-nucleotide non-coding RNA. NCBI's taxonomy places the organism in Eukaryota, Metazoa, Arthropoda, Arachnida, Araneae, Nephilidae. The record is from the annotation of a GenBank genome assembly.
GUUCCUGUAGCGCAAUGGAAAGCACGUUGAAUUUCUAACUCAAAGGUCGUGGGUUCAAAUCCCACCUGGGAUG